This is a long non-coding RNA of Passer domesticus (house sparrow), 4215 nucleotides long. RefSeq lists it as uncharacterized. The record is from RefSeq and is a predicted model, not a curated record. NCBI's taxonomy places the organism in Eukaryota, Metazoa, Chordata, Aves, Passeriformes, Passeridae. The transcript is spliced from 3 exons.
UGCGGCCUGGCACAGAGCCCGGCCCGGCUGCGCUGUCCCUGCGAUUCGUGGGGAGGCCCCACGCUGGAGCAGGGGAAAUGUGAGAAGGAAGAAAUGGCAGAGAGGAGCUGCGAUGGACUGGGGGCAGCUUUGCUUGGGAUGAUGAGGCGUGAGUCAGGAGAGAAGGAGCAAAGCUGAGCUUGAGAAGAGGGAAGGGCUGAGUGUCAGGUAUAACAAGCAUGAUCAGGAGUUCGUAUUUAUUCCAUGACCACUGAGCACUGGAGAGCAGAAGCUGGGUAAAGUUAAGAAGAGUGAAAAGAAAAAAAAAUCCUCAAGGGAAAGCUACUGUUUGUUUUAAGCGGAAACCAAGACGUGCAGAACACUUUAUUAUCCAGAGGAGCAAUGGAAUCUUCUGAAGGCAACAAGGAAGACCCACUUACAUAGAAUCUCUGGAUUUAUUUUUGUCUCAGAAAAGCAUGAAUGUAAAGAAUAUUCGAGAUUUUGAGGGGACCUCUCUAAAUUAAUUUUCAAGUCAGUUGAUUUAUGAGAUUAGAAUCAGAAAACCCAACACUUCCUCCUAAUUAAAAGAUGGCAAUUUCUUUUUUCACUCUGUGGCGUGUACAAUCACAAAAACUCAGACUUUCAGUAUUUGUUGCUCUGAGACUUUUUCAAAAUAUAAACAGGAUUACAAAUUCAACACAGACUUCAGACAGGUGGAUUGAAUGUUCAGGGAAAAAUCCUGGGGAAACUCCACUGAAAUAAGUGGAAAUACUCAAGGAAAAAGGUGCAGUCAUAAUUCAACAAAUAUUUUCCAUGAGGUAAAUGUUUAUGGGUGAAUUGUUUCAUUUCCACAAUAAACAAAAAAUGAGCUCAUUGUCAGUAAGGUAGUUAAUUUUGAGAAGCUAUAAAUAACCAAUACUGCAUUUUGUUAUAUAUUCUGAGAGACAGUUCAGGAAUAGAUAAGUGUUCUCAAAGCAGACAAAUAAGUUCUAAUAACUUUCUGUUCACAAAUAAGAGCUAAGAACUUUCUAUUCACUUGCAUUUUUCUUAACUGAACAAUAUAUGGGUUUUGUAAGUAAUAAUACAUCAUGGACAUUUUCUAAGUAACCAGUCUUAACUGGCUGGGAUUGCAUUGAUGCUGCAAACAUGUGUGACCCAGUUGCUGUGAAGCCCAAGGAGCACAUAUUAAUGAGCAGCAAAUUUUAUGAAUGCAAAGAAGUGCAAUUGCUGUGUAGGAAUACUCAGUCAACUUUUCGAGUUCUGCCACUUCAAAAGGGUCAUGGGACAAGCAAGCUAAAAAGAGUUUAUAGCCACCCCCACCCAAUCCUAUAGUGCAACAAAAGGGCAAAGACUUGUUUUGCCUUCUGCUAAUUAAAAUGGCCAUUCACUGGAAGGUAUUGUGGGAAUAUACACUUACAAUCAAGUCUGUCCUCAGUUUAAGUUAAGCUACAGGAUUGUUAUAAUAGGGCUUCAAGUGGGGGAAAGAAAGGCUCUUUUCUGUCUUCUCUGUAUUUGAAAUGCAGUUCGUAAGCCUUCCUGUAAAUUUGUUUUGUUUUGUGAUGAGUUUCAUACAGAAAAUUUAAGCAAAUAUUAAUAAUGAUGCAUGUUUCACAAAAACAACAGAUGUGUCUCCAAUGGAGUUCCUGAGGUUUGAGAUUUUUAUCACAGAAUGAUGCUCUGCAAUUCACCUGCUCCCAGCCUCCUCACAUUUCAGUUUGGUGGAUGUUACCUCAGAGUUUUCAAGCACAUUACUUACUGAGAAAAGGCAUUCCAAAACCUGCAAUACUUGAAACAUUAAUUUAGAAAAUAUAAUUUGAAUGUAUAGUGUAACUGAUGUUUUAGUUCAUAUCAUUUCUUUAAGAAAAAGUAUGUUUGAUAUGUUUCUGUGAAACAUUAUUUUAAUAAGAGUUAAGGACAAGUGAUAAUUAACGGGACUUGAAAAAGAAUCUGAGACACCACAUUUAUUUACAUUUUUUAAGAAAUAAUGAAUAUUUAGAUGUGUGUGAGACACAAAAAUUUAAGAUUUAGACUCAAAACUGUUUUGACAUUUCAGGAAUACUAGAUUCUGAAUCCUCUACUUGUUGUUUUUAAAUAGUCCUACAAGAAAUAUACAAUGCAUUUUUAAGUAGAUUAUUUUUUAUACUUUUGCUUAGAUCCCUGAAUAGAGGGGCUUAUCACUUUUUUUUUCUGAUAAAAAUAGGUUAUUCUAACUGCACAGGUUCAUCUUUUGAUGUUCUUAUAGAUGUCAAUCUAGAUAGAUCAUAGCUCAGGAAUAAUUUUUCUCUCUUCUUGGAUGUUUACUUGAGAUUUUGUCCAGUCAAUUUUUUCCAUGUUUAGUUAGUCCCAGGAUAGGCAUUGCAUUCAAGAAUCAAAAUUAAACAAUCAAGUUUGCCCAUUACACCAAGGUGUAUGGGGCAGUUGACACACUGAUGGAAGGGAUACCGUCCAGAGAGACCUUGACAGGCUUGAGACAUGGAGUCGUGCAAACUUUGUGAAGUUCCACAAGACCAAGUGUAAGGUCCUGCACAUUGGUCAGGGCAAUCAAGCACAAAUUCAGUCUAGAUGGAGAUGGGAUCAAGAGCAGUGCUGAGGAGAAGGACUUGGGGGUGUUGGUAGGUGAGAAGCUUGACAUGACCUGUCAGUGCACACUUGAAUCCCAGAAAGCCAACUGUAUCCUGGGCUGCAUCAAAAGAAGGAUGACCAGCACGUCUGAUUCUACUGCUGUACUGCGCCUUUGUGAGACCCUGCCUGGGGUAGUGAAUACAACUCUGGGGCCCCCAAGACAAGAUGUGCACCUGCUGGAGGGGAUCCAGGGGAGGCUCAUUAAGAUGAUCAGAAGAAUGGAGCACCUCUCCUUUGAAGGCAGGCGAGGAGAGUUGGGGUUUUUUAGCCUGGAGAAGUCCCUGGAGAGAGCUUACAGCACUCUCCAAUACCUAAAGGUAAAGUCCCUCUCCAUCCAAGAAAGAUGGAGAGGGACUUUUCACUAGGGCAUGUGGUAAUAGGACAAGAUUUUAAACUGAAAAAGAGUAGUUUUAGAAAAUAUAUAAGAAAGAAAUCCUUAAUUAUGAGAGGGGUGGUGCAUUGGAACAGAUUGCCCAGAGAAACUGUGGGUGCCGCAUCCCUGGAAAUGUUCAAGGCCAGGUUAGAUGGGGCUCUCAGCAGCCUGGUCCAGUGGAAAGUGUCCCUGCCCAUGGCAGAGGGGCUGGAUCUAGGUAAUCUUUAAGGUCACUUCAAACCCAAACCUUUCUCUGAUUCUAUUAUUAUAUAAAUGUCUACCCGAUCAUAUAGAUAACAUACUGAUUACAGCAAGCUGCUUGUUCUUUAUAUGCAGCUCUUCCUACUAAAAAUCAUUUCACAACACCUUUUGACUUCUAAUUUGUAUGUCUUACAGCACCUUUCAUGGAAAACACUGAUCACAUUACCAGUAAAAGGGAUAUUUCAACUAUACAAUCUUUUGUUGUAGCAUGCCAGUAGUGGUGCUCUCAUUCUUGCUUUAUCUAAGAAACUGUUUGCAUAGAUUUCCUGUGAGAUGCUUUGUUUUAUUGUUGAUCACAGAAAUCCCUAUGAAUAUUAGGUACCUGAAAGGUUUUGGCAUCAUGACUGUUUUCUAUUGGCAUUGUUUGAUACUUCUAUUCCUCCUACAACAUUCCUUACAUCACUUUGAUGUUGGUGCAUAUACACGUUGUGUAAUGUAUUGUAUGAAAUAUUGAAUGUUAAUUGAUUUUAAAUAAUGUUAUUUCUAACAUAACAAAAAUAUCUUGAUUGUGAAAAUACUAAAAUGGAUAAUAAAGAGAGUCUGCAACUGGAUGCUUGGGCACAUUGAUGACAGUUUUGAAUCUAUUAGAUUAUGAGUGCCAUAGUGUUUUGCAUCUGUGAUUACAUUCAGAAGUUUAAAAAAAGUAGGCAGGGAGGAAAACAGUGGAAAAAAAAGACAGGAUUGAAAAACCUGACAUCUGCAGAGGGUGAGGAAGGAUCUACAGAGAAUUGUGUUUCUGUCAGCAAGGAAUUAUUGCAUGACAGCAGACCAUAAACUGCAAGGUAAGAACCUUUACAUUUUUCGGUAACUAGAAGCACAGUUGUGUCUGUUUCUGAUACUCAGAGCCAGACUUUCCUGUCACCAGCUAUUUUCUCUGAACAUAUGUCAAGUGCUGCUGAAGGUAUCAGCAUAGCAGACUGAAAAAAAAUCUGCUUUGGAACAAAAGCAUCAAGUGUCUUUUUCUUUGUAAACAAUAUCAC